RNAcentral lists this ribosomal RNA (253 nucleotides) under uncultured bacterium. RNAcentral's name for it is "partial 16S ribosomal RNA". It matches the Rfam family "Bacterial small subunit ribosomal RNA", at positions 524 to 776 of the family's 1533-position model. The record is from RNAcentral.
UACGUAGGGGGCUAGCGUUGUCCGGAAUCAUUGGGCGUAAAGCGCGUGUAGGCGGCCUUGUAAGUCCGUUCUGAAAGCCCGGGGCUCAACCCCGGGAGGCGGAUGGAUACUGCAAGGCUCGAGUCCGGAAGAGGCGAGUGGAAUUCCCGGUGUAGCGGUGAAAUGCGCGGAUAUCGGGAGGAACACCAAUGGCGAAGGCAGCUCGCUGGGACGGUACUGACGCUGAGACGCGAAAGCGUGGGGAGCAAACAGG